UAAAUAAAACCUAUAUUUUUAUUUUAAAGUCAAUUUAAAGCAGUCUGACAAAAAAAUUUGAAUAAUAAACCAACUUCCAUGAAUAAUUAAAGAGAAUGUCAAUUUUGAUGCUAAAGUGCCCGGUUUUUAAAAAUUCGAUUAAAGGGACAGUCUAGGCCAAAAUAAACUUUCAUGAUUCAGAUAGAGCAUGCAAUUUUAAACAAUUUUCCAAUUUACUUUUAUCACCAAUUUUGCUUUGUUCUUUUGGUAUUCUUAGUUGAAAGCUUAAUCUAGGAGGUUCAUAUGCUAAUUUCUUAGACCUUGAAGGCAACCUCUUUUCAGAAUGCAUUUGAACAGUUUUUCACCACUAGAGGGUGUUAGUUCACAUAUUUCAUAUAGAUAACACUGUGCUCGUGCACGUGAAGUUAUCUGGGAGCAGGCAGUGAUUGGCUAAACUGCAAGUCUGUCAAAAGAACUGAAAAAAGGGGGCAGUUUGCAGAGGCUUAGAUACAAGAUAAUCACAGAGGUUAAAAGUAUAUUAUUAUAAAAGUGUUAGUUAUGCAAAACUGGGGAAUAGGUAACAAAGGGAUUAUCUAUCUUUUAAAACAAUAACAAUUCUGGUGUAGACUGUCCCUUUAAAAACAGGGGCACUUUAAUUCAUCAAAAUUUACAUUUCACUCGUGUUGUGAAAAAAACUUACCUUUUAAUCUUGACAGCAGCUUCAGCUCCCUCCACCCAUCGCAAAUCCUCUUCCUGGGUCUAAAAUGAGGAAUCCGGCUUCCUCCAAUCACAGCGUUGAAUCAGACACUGAGCACCAACUUCUGCAAGUCUAUUUAACCCGACAAAACUGUUAAACACAUAUUUCAGAAGCCACAGAGAACUGUGAUGUGACCCAAAUGUAUGAUUUCUGCUGAUUUGCUCACUGGCCAUGUCCACUUGGGACUUGCAUUUUUCUGUGGCUCUAAAGGAGUGCUUUAGCUUUGUGUUUAAUCCCUUCGUAGGGGUUAAACACACAGACUUGCAGGGUCAGUAAUGCUUAUAUAUCAUGUUAAAGCACGUUAGUUUUGCAUUAUAAUGGCCAAUAAAUCUCUACUAUAGAAACUAAAAAUAAAGUGACAAACCUAUUGCAUUCAUGUAAAGCUUAAUAUGUCGAUCAUUGGAGGAUACAUUAAUUACAGAUCUUUUCUCGAGUAGCAGUGCACUAUGUCCAGUUGUGCUGAUGUGAAAGGGGUUAAAUACAGUGAGAAAAGCAUUUUAUUUUUACACUAGAUGAAUAUCUUUCAGAAGUACAUGACAGUCAUAAUUAAACAUUUAUGAUUAUUCAGGUAGAGAGGUUGAAAUAAUCUUUUUUUAUUCGAUUUCUGUUAUCACAUGUACCUAUUUAUCUUUAGUAUUCUUUAAUGAAACUCUCCACCUUCCCAUCAGAGCAUACUUAGAUUGGCUAAGUAGGUUGUAAAACAUUGUUGCAAGCACUGCUUUAACCCCUUAGUUACCAGACCAUUUUUCAAUUUUCUUACUGUUGGGGACCAGGACUAUUUUUACAUUUCUGCUGUGUUUGUGUUUAGCUGUAAUUUACCUCUUACUCAUUUACUGUAACCACACAUAUUUUAUACCGUUUUUCUCGCCAUUAAAUGGACUUUCUAAAGAUACCAUUAUUUUUAUCAUAUCAUAUAAUUUACUAUAUUUUUUUUUUAUAAAAUAUGAUGAAAAAAUUGAAAAAACACACUUUUUCUAAAUUUGACCCCCAAAAUCUGUUACACGUCUACAACCACCAAAAAACACCCAUGCUAAAUAGUUUCUAAAUUUUGUCCUGAGUUUAGAAAUACCCAAUGUUUACAUUUUCUUUCUUUUUUUUUUUGCAAGUUAUAAGGCAAUAAGUACAAGUAGCACUUUGCUAUUUCCAAACCAUUUUUAUUUUCACAAUUAGUGCGUUACAUUGUAACACUGAUAUCUGUCAGGAAUCCCUGAAUAACCCUUCACACACACACACACACAUAUAUAUAUAUAUUUUUAUAUAUAUAUAUAUAUAUAUAUAUAUAUAUAUAUAUAUAUAUAUAUUAGACAACCCAAAGUAUUUAUCUAGGCCCAUUUUGGUAUAUUUCAUGCCACCAUUUCACCGCCAAAUGCGAUCAAAUAAAAUAAUAAAAAAAAAUAAAAAAAUAGGUUUCUCACUGAAAUUAUUUACAGCUUGUGCAAUUAUAGCACAAAUGGUUGUAAAUGCUACUCUGGGAUCCCCUUUGUUCAGAAAUAGCUGACAUAUAUGGCUUUGUUUUUUGUAGGACGUACCCUGUACGUCCUUGGUCGUUAAGGGGUUAAUAGGCGUGCAGGGCCGUCUUUAAUAUUGAUUGGACCCUGGGCAAAAAAUUUCUUGGCCCCCCCCCCAUGCAAUUUCGCUCUCCACCCCAACAUCCAAAAAAACAACUAAAUCAUCCACUGCUGGGCUAAUCAUUUUAAAAAAAUUAAAUAAAUUGCAAUAUGUGAAACUGGACCUAAGCAGUACUAAUAAGUAAAGAAAUAUAUAAAUUCCUCCACUGUGGAUUAAUUUAAUAUUCUUUUGAAUGUGAUUCUGGUGUGAGGUUAGCUGGUUAAAGAGAUUUAGGGCAGCCAACAGGAACAAAGCAAGGUAAAGACUGAGGAGGAAGCAUAGAGGUGCAGACAAAUAUAAGUUUACUAACUGGAACAGCAGAACUACUAUGGGAAGCUGUAAAAUCUGAGACAGAGAGAAAACAAAAACUAUAAAAAAUAAACCUUACAAUAAUGUGUGAAGUAUCAGCAUGACACUAUACAUCAGCCACAGCAGUACAUGUCACUUCUUUGCUAGGAACAAGUUCCCUCUCACCCUGCACUAGACAAUGCUGCAUGGGGAGGGGUGUGUGUGCACUCACUUAUUCUUCCCACUGACACCUUUCUACAAAGCACUGUUCCCAUAACAAACUUCAUUUAGUUGAUCUUAGUGGCCAUAGCAGAAAGAGCAGGGCUAAGGGGACCAGCAGACUGGAUGCUGUCUGUCCAAGACUGCAUGGAUACAGUGUGAGAUGAGUUACACAGCCUCAAGACUGAAGAGAGCAGUGUAUGCAGCUGCACAGAUGCUCAAAUCCUCAUGUCCUUGCAGCUCCAGGUUUCUGCUGCAUGCGCCUACAGUCAGCCCUACCCAGAAACAAUCCCCACCACCAGAGCAGUGACCUGGUAACAGUGGUAACCCCAGCAGGACCCUUUCUGAUGCAGUGGGAAUGGCUGGAUGCUGAGUUAGGGCUUUGCAUUCAGUGCUGCACAGUGCACAUCUAAAACAGCACAUGGCACUAGCUUGGCAUGUCACAUGACACCGGCGCGGUCUGGCACAGUUUUAAAAAAAAUAAUAAUAUAUAAACAGAGUAAUUUUGACUGUGACAGUAUUAGGACUGAAUGUGUGUGUUCCCCAUGUCACAUGGUAUGAACCAUUUUUAUUUUUUUUUAGGACUCUUGGGCCCCUCAACAGAAACUGGGCCCUGGGCAGCUGCCCCUUUUGCCCUGUGUUAAAGACGGCCCUGUAGGCGUGCAUAUUUCUAAGCCUACCUAUGUAUGUUGUCAUGAAAUGGAGCUAAGGUCUGGAGUAUAUCUGUUCUACAAUAUAUGAAAUUAUGUUCUAAGGGGUUUUUGUUGAUACUUUAAGACAGUCCUCAAGUAUCCCUAACAGACCAGAUUUUUAUUAUUGCCAAACUAGAGCACAGGUGCAAUAAUCAGGUGAUGGAUGAGAGCAGGAUAGUAACCAUGGUUACUGAUCAGCUGAAUAUUUCACCUGUGCUUUAGUUCAGCUAUAAUGAAAACAAGACCUGUUGGGGGUACUUGAGGACCGCGGUUGAGAAACACUGCUCUAAGGGACAGUACAUGUAAAAUUGUUUUUCCAUUAAUGUAUUUCCAAUGACUUGUUAUACCAGCUGCAGAGUAUUAAAGGUAUGAGAAAUUGCAUUUUCAGGUUUAUUUGUGUAUAUAAAUUAGCUGGUGUUGUGCUUUUAACCCACAGCCUAUUAAAAUGGGUUAAAAAUUAAAGCUAAAUAUUGUUUGCCUGUUAAUUAUCUGAUAAUCUAUGCUAUCAUCUAAAUGUCUAAUUAUCUCUUAAUAUACCAUUAUAAAAUACUUAAAUGACUGUGUGAUUAUUGCCACGCUUACACCUUUUGAAUUCCAAAAGAACACAGGUAACACACACGCAAAGGUUGUGUCAUGUUAGAUGUAUACAGGGAGGGGGGUCAGGAGAGUGUACUGCAGUAUGCAUGUGUUUAAAAAGAAACAAGAAGAGUAUCUGUUCUGCAGUGCCUUUUUUUCUAUCUAUCUAUCUAUCUAUCUAUCUAUCGUUUCUGUAGCACACAUAUAAAUAGGGAGACAAGUGGCAUGUGUAUUUUGCAGUAUACAUGCAUAUAGAUCAUCAAGUAUUAUGCAUUGUAUGUAGCGUUGUUUACACAUUGGUUUUAGAUAACUAUACGAAAAAUGCUUCUGAGAAAAGUUAGUACAUAGGUUGUCUCAUACAAACUGCUCCUCUGGCAAACACAGGUAAGUCACGUGCUUGUUUAGAGUGGUGCAUGAUGUCAUUGGAACUUUGAAUAUGUAGAGUACUGGGUGCAAGGGCAUAAAGCUUACCUGUGUAUGCAAUAGAGGCCACUUGCACAAGAAAAAGUUUUUGUACAGUAAUUGAUUUGCUGGAUGCUGUCUAGGAUACAGGAAAUAGUCUUAGGUUUUAUAUGUAAAAUGCCAUCAUAUGUGUGUGUUAUUAUGUAAUAUGUUUAAUGUGUUUACAAAGGCGCUUGAGAGGUGACAUCAUUACUUUAUAUAAAUAUAUUCAAGGCCCAUAUACAGAGAUUAUAUCAAAAGAAAGAAAAGGAAGCUCCAAUACAAGAACUCUCUUUUCCGAGCCUAUUAGCUGGAGGGGUAGGAAAAAAGUAUAUUAAAGUUUAACUUUUGUGUUAAGAUCAGACCUGUGUGAGACUGCCAUACAAAAGCAAUGUACGAAAUAUAGGUAUAAAGUAAGAUAGAAAGACCCACAAUACAGUAGUAAGAAUACUUCAGCUUCAUAGAAGUCAGAGACACAGUCCCAAAUGUCACCAAGUAUUACUACAGUAGAGUUCCCUGUAUGAAUUACUAUAGCUAGCUGCAAUUAUAUGUGGAACAACUUUCACACAUAUAAAAGCUACCUGUAUUACAUAUAAACUGUUGAACGUAUCAUAUCAAAAGGGGACACAGUCCCAGAAAAUUUAUGCCACAGUUAUGUAAUAUAUUAGGACAGGGAGCUCCAUUAAAUCUAUAAAGAUAGUUAUAAACAGUAUGUGGAACAAAUUUCACACAUACAAGCAGCUCACAUCAGGUAGAGGUCGCCUGAUGCGCAUUUCGCCGUAGCUUUUUCAAAGGGGAACACUUUUGGUUGGCCUUUGAAAAAGCUACGGUGAAAUGCGCACCUAUAUUUUGUACAUUGCUUUUGUUAGCAGUCUCACACAGGUCUGUGCAGUUUUUAAUAUUGUAUGUUUAUUUUUGAUUUAUGUAUAUUUCCGUCACUCACAGUUUUAUAUUAUAACUGAAUAAAAGUUAAAUUUGAAUAUACUUUUUUCCUACCCCUCCACAUAAUUCACCCGCAAGUGAGUGCUUCUAUUGGUGCUUCCUUUUAUAAUUUGAUAUAAUACUGUUGACCAGCACUAAGCACCCUCCACAAUCCUCUUUUUGUGGAUCUAAUAUAGGAAUCCUGUGCUACUACACACAAUAACCUUACAUUUUCCAUAUACAGAAAUGGCAGAAGCUCUGUUUUUCCACUGUAAGAGCAAUAAAAUUGUGGAACUCGUUACCAAAGAAGGUAGUGAAUGCCAAUACCGUAGAUACAUUUCUGGCUGAAACAGAAUUCAGGGAUAUGAUUGCUUGUGUUAAAUGGGUCACAUUUUAAUGGGAUUAAUUUAAGAUUAACUGGAGCUUUUUUGUAAGUAUAUUAGAUUUUUAAAGUUUGAACUCGAUGGACUUCAGUCAUUUUUUCAACCUCAUCUACUAUGUUACUAUGUUACAAAGUAUUGAAUUUUGAUUUAGUCUUUUACACAGAAUGAAAACUGUAAAAAAUGACUAUAAUUUACUACAGACUGACUAAUGCAGGUAUUACAAAUCCAUUUUUUUUAAUGUUUUCAUCUAUAGCAAAGUAUCACCUUUUGUAUCAUAUUAAGUAUCGGUUGUAAUGAGUUCUAAACAUGCAUGGUGAUCUGUGAGGAAUUAUUUAUCUGCUGAUUCUAUUUUCAGACAAAGUCUAAUCUCCUGUGCACAGGUAUCAGUUACAGAAAGAACAGGAGAUAAUAAAGGCCCACAGAGACGGGAAGAACCACAGCUAGGGUUUAAAAGACGCUAUGGGAAGUAAGGAGACUGUGGCAAGUAAAGCUAAUCAGUGCUUUGACAAAUCAACUGGAAAUAGAGAACUAAAGUUUAAAGGGACAUCAAACUCAGUGUCUUUACCUAAAAAAUAAUUUAAAUUACUGGAAAAGUUCAAAAAGAAUGCGCUAUAAUGUUAUAUAGUAUUUUAUUACACUAUUGCUUGCAUACAACACCUGCAAAUGGGUUAAACACAUAGGUAAAGUCAGCUACAGAGUCGCAGUGUAAUACUGGGAGCUAGCUAACACAGCUGGUGAGCCAAUGACAAUAGACACAUUUGUGUAGCCACCAAUCACUAACUAGGUCCCAGUCGUGCAUUGUUUCUCCUAAGCCUAUUUAGGUGUGUGUUUUUUUAACAAGGGAUACCAAGAGAACUAAGUAAAAAUAAUAGAAGUAAAUUGAAAAGUCUUUUGAUUUUGCUCUGUCUGUGCAAUGAAUGUAUAAGCAUGACUUACAUGUCCCUUUAAAUUAAACAUUAUUUAAAUAAAAUACAUUAUUAUUUUAUUUUUACAUUUAGUUUGAUUUGGGUGCAAAAUAUUACCUUUGCUGUAAAAAUUGUGCUUGUUCCAAGCUUCCUAAAGAAAUUCUGCAACCUAUUGUUCUGCUAAUUGGGGAACCAGCUGACUGCUUUGAACAGGUGGUGUCAAACCUUUUCAGUACAGGGCCAUAUUUAGGCUUAGUAUGCCAAGGAGCAAAUUCCCAUAAUAUUUACGUAGGUACUUUAUAACACAUUUUUAUCAUUUUUUUUUAAAGCCAAAAAUCUAAAUAAAUAUAACAAGCAAAUGAGCCACGCAGAAAAUUAGUUUGGUUGCAGCCUCAUUUUCAUUUUUUUAUUUUUGUGAAGAAAUUUUUCUGUGAUGGGAUUCCUUUUCCGUUUGUUUCCUUUGAGUUUGGAAUAUUGUGCAGAUGUAUAUUGUAGUGCACGAGCAGUAGUGCAAAAACAAUGAGAGCGCCACAUAGGUCUUUAUUGCGUCUACUCAACUCUGCUGUUGCAGCACAAAAGCAGCCAUAGACCAUACAAAAGUGAAUAAGGGGUCAAUUUAUCAAGCUCCGUACGGAGCUUGAUGCCUCAUGUUUCCGGCAAGCCUUCUAAAGACCGCUGCUCCAUUUCGUGUCCGCCUGCUCUGAGGUGGCGGACAGAAAUCAAAUAUGAUCGGGUUGAUUGACACCCCCUAAUCUGCAGGGGCGUAUUGCACCAGCAGUUUAGCAGAACUGCUGGUGCAAUGAUAAAUGCUGACAGCGUAUGCUGUCGGCAUUUAUCGAUGUGCAGCGGACAUGAUACACUACAUCGUAUCAUGUCCGCUCGCACAUUAAUAAAUUGACCUCUAAGAGUGGUUGUGCUCCAAUAAAACCUACUAAAUGUGAAUUUCAUAUAAUUUUCAUGAAUAUUUUUUCCCAUGCAGUUAAAAAUGUAAAAAACAUUCCUAGCUAGUGGCCGUACAAAAACAGCUGCCAGCCGGAUUUGGCACCUGGGUAGUAAUUUAGUACAUAUUUUUUCCCAUUACCUAGUGCUGAAGACUUAUUGCAAUGUUUGAAAGAGUUAAAAAUUACAGAGCACAUUUAAUAUGUAAAUACUUUAUUAUGCUACAAAGCCAUGUGCCACACUUUACUAUAACUUUAACUCACCAAGGUUUCCAAGCAUUGUUUACACAAUGUGCACAAUUUGUAAAACAUUUAUUUUUGUAUGUCGAUUUUUUUUAAAAAAUGUUUUUGCAGUUCCACAUUUCAAGGGACACAAAACCCAUUUUUUUUAUUUCAUUUGAAACAACUUUUCAAUUUAGGGCUAGAUUACAAGUGGAGUGUAAUUUAUUGUGCGCCAAUACAAUUGGCUGGUUAUUGCUACCGCAAGCUCAGAUCUCUGGUUAACUUUAUAAAUGUGCCCUAAAUGCCCCCAAAAUACAGUGGUGUGUAUUAUAUUAAAAAUAAAAAUUGUAGCAUUUUUAUUUUUUAAUAAAAUAACUGCACCAGACAGUUUUUGGGGACUAAAGUUGGCAGGUGUGGGUUGUUAGAAAAAGAACGGCACUGAAAAGUGUCUUUACAUUGCGAUCUAUGGGAACCGUGUGUUCCCUUUAAAUAUAUAUAUAUAUAUAUAUAUAUAUAUCGCUUAUAUGCACAGACAUUUAUGUGUUAAUAUGUGUAUAUACGCAUAUUAACACAUAAAUAUAUAUAUAUGUAUAUAAUCAUAUGCAUACUGUAUAUAUUUACAAUCUGCUGCCCAUCGCUGCGCUACGUUUCACAUAACGGGAUAUUUAGCGCUCCACUUGUAAUUUGACCCUUAGUUUGGUUAUAUAAUUUACUUCAUUCUCAUGGUCUCUUUAGUUCACUGGUUUUCAAACCUGUCCUUAGGUCUCACUAACAGGCCAGAUUUUGAGGAUAUGUGAUCUAGAGCAAAGGUUAAAUAAUCAGGUGAUCCUAAAAAUCUGGCCUGUUGGGGAGACCUAAUUACAGGUUUGAAAACCAGUGCCUUCAUUUGCGUUCUUAUUGCCAUAUAUUGCUCUUGAUACAUGCAUGCUUCAUAGCCUACCUACCUGCUUUUCAGCAAAGGGUAACAAAAGAACAAAGUAAAUUGUCCUUUAUUUUUAAUUUAACUUUUUUCAGUCAACAAAUAUGCUACUUGUAAUUUUUAGCUGUAUAGUUUGAUGUAAGCACAUUUAUUUUCUCAUGUCUAUGUAUUUAAAAAAAUAAAUAGCCAGAAAAAAAAACUGCUGAGUCUGAGCAAGACAGAUAUCUUAUGUAGUAUUAUCAUAUCUUAGUGACUCAGUAUAUAUCUAUUUGUGUGAUGUAGUGGUCUAGUGCAGUGUUUCACAAACUGUUCUUCUUUGGGGUGUUUUGUGUAAUUAGGGGUUACACAAUAAAAUAGACCCAAAUUAAAAAGCUGAAUAGUACCCAGUUAUAUAGUGAGUAUGGGAACUGUGCAGUACUGGAUACAGUUGGCAAGUUUUGUAUUCAAUUGAACAGAAUUUCAGACAGAUGCCUGUAUAGCGUAUACUUUAAAAUACAGGUAGCCCUCAGUUUACGCCGGGGUUAGGUUCCAGAAGGAAUGGUUGUAAAUCAAAACUGUUGUAUAUUGAAAGUUUAUAAUGUAAGUCAAUGGGAAGCGAGGGAGAUAGGUUCCAGGCCCCUCUCAAAAUUGUCAGAAGUAACACCUAAUACAUUUAUUUUUAAAGCUUUGAAAUUAAGACUUUAAAUGCUAAACAGCAUUAUAAACCUAAUAAAAUAAUCACACAACACAGACUUCACUUGCAUUUUUCUGCAAACAGUUUUUUCUAUGCAUUCCAAUCUGGACUGAUUUAUAGACCGUAAGAUCUUGUUACUUUGAAAUCUGCUCGAUAGCUCAGGUCUGGUUAAACUGAUUAAUUUCAGCUUGCUUGGCUUUGCUGCAACACAAGCGGACAGCUCCACCUACUGGCUAUUUUAAUAAAUGCACUGCUUCUCAAUGCUUUUCAAUAGCAGUCACAUAACUGGAAAAAAAGGUUGGUAUUCUGAAACGGUGUAAAUUGAACCGUUGUAAAACAAGGGCCACCUGUAUAUGCUUAUAUAAAAUACUUUUUUUUAUAUUGCCUUUGUACAGCACAUAGAGCAAGGGGAUGAGAUGGCACUUGGUAAUGCUUAUUUUCACGUCAUGCAGAGCAUGCUGCUUGUUAGGUUUCUGCCUGGCUAGCAGUUCUUUUCCUCUCACUCUCUUUCUAGAGAAAUGGUCCAUGUGCGGUGCUUGAAAGACAGAACAUGCAUUUUAUUUAUAGCUAUACAUAAUGCAGGUUGUCAGUAGUAGAAUACAAUAUACUUAGUCUAAAACAUUCUAACAUUAGGUAUGAGACAGCAAAAUUACUUUGAAGAUCUUUCUCAAUAGUUUUUCAUCUAGAGCAGAGUUCACCUGUGUCCCCUCUGGUGCUGUUUAUCUGGCUAUCUACCCUUGCUCACCUACCUUUGCCCAUUGGCAACACAGUGGUCCACUUCUCUAUACUCAUUCAUUUUCUCUGUGUUUGUGCAUUUAUAGUUAUUAUGCAAAAAAAUCCAGAGUUGCCAACCAGAAGGACCACAAUUUUGUACAAUUGUCACAGUAUAGGAGCUCUGCCUUGAUAUCUUACUGCAAUCCCUUAAAUAUAAUGACGUCUGACAUGCUCAAACCUUGCCCAAUGUCUCCAUAACGUAUAGCCUGUUUUUAAAAAUGUUGCCUGCACUUACGUUUAUAAAGAACUUUGUUGUUGAUAAGAGUUACAUUUAUAUGUGAUAUAAACUAUUGCAUUAGUGUAAAGAGGGAAAAAAGUGUCAGUGAUCUGGAAAAAAAAAGUGUCAGCACGUUAGAUUGUUGUCUAUGGUACUAUAUAACUGAAAGGGUUAUUAAAGAGACAUGAACGUCAGAAAUACAUUUUAAUUCUGUUAGCAAAUGUAUAUAUUUCUCUUGAUACCCUCUGUUAAAACGUUGCUCCUUUCCAUUAGAACAUAGUAAAGGAGCACUAAAUACAGUGGAAUUGCAUAAUUAACAAGUGCAUAAUAAAAAGCCAAUGAAAUAACACUUACUCUGAAUUUCACAAAAGCAGUAUAUUUUUUUCUUCUGACAAUUUUUUUUCUCCUAUUUGCCAGCACCCUGUACCAUGUAACAGACAUCAGCCAAUCACAGACUAGUAUGCGUAUACCAUGUGAGCUUGUGCACAUGCUCAGUAGUAGCUGGUGACUCAAAAAAUAUGCAUAUAAAAAGUCUGUGCAAAAUUGAUAAUGGAAGUCAAUUUUAAAAAAACUUAAACUGGUUAUUGAAUUAUAAAAGUUUAAUUUUCACUUGUGUUUCCUUUUAAAAUAGGUGCAUGCAUGUGUCUUGAGCACUAUUUGGGAGCUAUGUUUGCAACAUACUACUACUUAGGUAUGUUCUCAUAGAAAGAAAGGAUAUUAAAUAAUGGUUUCAAUAAAGAGUUGAAUUGCAAACAAACCAAAGUCUGGGAACUACCAGCCUGGUCAAGUGGAUAGCAAACAUAAAAAAAAGCAACAGAGAAGAAAUUAGAUAGAUUUUCUCAAGUAAUUAUUACUGCAGCUGCUAAAAAGAUCUUUAGUGAGUAUAAUAUUACAAUGCUUAUUGUUUGGAACAGACACAGGUAAAUGACAAACAAAUUAAUUUGACAGACACUGGUUAAAGGCAGGCCCUCCCACAAUAUAUCUUUGGAUUAGAUCAGUCCUGAAGUUCUUCGUCUUGUCACAUAUCCACUAUCACAUUUCUCUUCUGUAAAGAGCUCCCUGAAACUUUAAUGAGGUCACCCGACACAUGUAGGCAGUAGCCAAUGGGUGCCAAGGAGCCCUGCACCUGAGAAACUGAGCACACCCAAGGCACUUUAUACAUCAUUAAAACCCACUGGAUAUUGGGAGAGGCAGUUUUUUUUUUUGCUUUGCACAUUGAGUAAUAUUCUUCUUAUCUGGAGACACUUAACAUCUAACUUAAGCCCCUGAGCUCAUCUUCUCUACCUUUACAUUUGAGAUCACCACUGUUUUUCACCAUGAGUCAGGGAUUCUGGAGAGUUUAUAAAGCAAAAGUUCUACAGACAUUCAAUACAGAACAGGAGACAGAAUACCAAGAGGAGGUAAGUGGCAUUAAACGUUAAUAUCAAAUUUUAGACCUUUUAGGCAAGGGUUUAUAGACAGAAGUUUUAUACAGGAAGAUGUGGCUAUAUAUGAGAUGUAGACCUAGAAUAAGCUAAUACUAAGACAUAAGAAGUCAUAUGAAGGAAGAUGGGGCUAGGGGGUAUAUUUAUUAAAGUGCAGACGGACAUGAUACAAUGUAGCGCAUCAUGUCCGCCACACAUCGAUAAAUACCAACAGCAUACACUGUCGGCAUUUAUCAUUGCAGCAGCUAGCAGGGGGUGUCAAUCAACCCGAUCGUAUUCCAUCGGGUUGAUUUCUGUCCGCGGCCUCAGAGCAGGCGGACAACUUAUGGAGCAGUGGUCUUUAGACCGCUGCUUCAUAACUUCUGUUUCCAGCGAGCCUGAAGGCUCGUGCGGAAACAGGGGCAUCAAGCUCCAUACGGAGCUUGAUUAAUCAGCCCCUAUAUAUGAGAGGUGUGUGUGUGUGUAUAUAUAUAUAUAUAUAUAUAUAUAUAUAUAUAUAUAUAUAUAUAUACGCAUAUAUAGUGUAAAAGAAUAGACAGAGAAGGUAAGUAUAAAUAAGCCAUAGCAAAAUUAACAAAGGAGAGUGAAAAGUGGAAUGCACAUAGAAAAAGGAACAGAGAGGAAGAUAAGCAAAGAGACAUUGAGUAAGAGGUUUAGAUGGAAUGUGGAUGGAAAAGCAAAUGGGUAAUACAUGGUGAAGAGUGAUACAGAUAAGCAUGUGGUGUUCAUAAUAGGGGAACCUUAGAUGAGAGCAAAGGGUAGCAAUGAGAAGGAAAUGGGUAUGGUUACAAACUAGAGAAUGUAUAGAAGGAAGUGAAACGAAGAUGCAAUAAGGAUUAAAGACAUUUUAGGGGAGGUAGAGAACAUAGUAAAAAAAGAUAGCUAGUAAUAAAGGAGUUUGAUAUUUUGAGCAAAGCAGUUGAAAGUUAGGUGGUUUGCUUAGAUGGGAUAAGGCUAGAUUAGUGACAGAAGGGGUGUAUUGUGAUAGUACCACAUUAAAGGACAUAUGAUAUCAUGUAUUUAUAUUAUACUACUGUAUUUUUCCCACAGAGUGACACCGCAGAAAUGAUAGAGCCAGAAAAUCCAGAUGUGGGAGAUGAGGGGCUAAAUAUGUCACAACUUGCACGUAAGGGUGAUCGUGUGUGACGUGUUGUUAUCCCCAGGUUCAAGGAUCAUUGGGCUGGAGAAGCGUUACAUCCCUAUUUAGUAAAGAAGAGGAUCAAAGAACAGAGGAAAGACAAGAGCAUGAGGAAGACCAGCCCCCUGUUCAGCUACCUUCAGACACAACACCAGAGAGGACUUCAUCUUCAGC
RNA transcript from Bombina bombina (fire-bellied toad), 13248 nucleotides. It is a transcript of the gene named chromosome 3 C1orf232 homolog, with no coding region annotated. The record is from RefSeq and is a predicted model, not a curated record. The transcript has 3 exons. NCBI's taxonomy places the organism in Eukaryota, Metazoa, Chordata, Amphibia, Anura, Bombinatoridae.